RNAcentral lists this ribosomal RNA (1204 nucleotides) under Staphylococcus aureus. Its description in RNAcentral is "bacterial SSU rRNA". It matches the Rfam family "Bacterial small subunit ribosomal RNA", at positions 1 to 1186 of the family's 1533-position model. The record is from RNAcentral. Lineage: Bacteria; Bacillati; Bacillota; Bacilli; Caryophanales; Staphylococcaceae.
UUUAUGGAGAGUUUGAUCCUGGCUCAGGAUGAACGCUGGCGGCGUGCCUAAUACAUGCAAGUCGAGCGAACGGACGAGAAGCUUGCUUCUCUGAUGUUAGCGGCGGACGGGUGAGUAACACGUGGAUAACCUACCUAUAAGACUGGGAUAACUUCGGGAAACCGGAGCUAAUACCGGAUAAUAUUUUGAACCGCAUGGUUCAAAAGUGAAAGACGGUCUUGCUGUCACUUAUAGAUGGAUCCGCGCUGCAUUAGCUAGUUGGUAAGGUAACGGCUUACCAAGGCAACGAUGCAUAGCCGACCUGAGAGGGUGAUCGGCCACACUGGAACUGAGACACGGUCCAGACUCCUACGGGAGGCAGCAGUAGGGAAUCUUCCGCAAUGGGCGAAAGCCUGACGGAGCAACGCCGCGUGAGUGAUGAAGGUCUUCGGAUCGUAAAACUCUGUUAUUAGGGAAGAACAUAUGUGUAAGUAACUGUGCACAUCUUGACGGUACCUAAUCAGAAAGCCACGGCUAACUACGUGCCAGCAGCCGCGGUAAUACGUAGGUGGCAAGCGUUAUCCGGAAUUAUUGGGCGUAAAGCGCGCGUAGGCGGUUUUUUAAGUCUGAUGUGAAAGCCCACGGCUCAACCGUGGAGGGUCAUUGGAAACUGGAAAACUUGAGUGCAGAAGAGGAAAGUGGAAUUCCAUGUGUAGCGGUGAAAUGCGCAGAGAUAUGGAGGAACACCAGUGGCGAAGGCGACUUUCUGGUCUGUAACUGACGCUGAUGUGCGAAAGCGUGGGGAUCAAACAGGAUUAGAUACCCUGGUAGUCCACGCCGUAAACGAUGAGUGCUAAGUGUUAGGGGGUUUCCGCCCCUUAGUGCUGCAGCUAACGCAUUAAGCACUCCGCCUGGGGAGUACGACCGCAAGGUUGAAACUCAAAGGAAUUGACGGGGACCCGCACAAGCGGUGGAGCAUGUGGUUUAAUUCGAAGCAACGCGAAGAACCUUACCAAAUCUUGACAUCCUUUGACAACUCUAGAGAUAGAGCCUUCCCCUUCGGGGGACAAAGUGACAGGUGGUGCAUGGUUGUCGUCAGCUCGUGUCGUGAGAUGUUGGGUUAAGUCCCGCAACGAGCGCAACCCUUAAGCUUAGUUGCCAUCAUUAAGUUGGGCACUCUAAGUUGACUGCCGGUGACAAACCGGAGGAAGGUGGGGAUGACGUC